UCCUACGGGAGGCAGCAGUGGGGAAUAUUGCACAAUGGGCGCAAGCCUGACGCAGCCACGCCGCGUGAGUGAUGAAGGCCUUCGGGUUGUAAAGCUCUGUCACCAAGGAAGAACGUCUUCUAGAGUAACUGCUACCGAGGACGGACUGCAAGGAGCCCGAUUCCCG
Molecule: ribosomal RNA, 166 nt
Filed under: Clostridium drakei
Lineage: Bacteria; Bacillati; Bacillota; Clostridia; Eubacteriales; Clostridiaceae
Description: partial 16S ribosomal RNA
Rfam family: Bacterial small subunit ribosomal RNA
Source: RNAcentral